RNAcentral lists this ribosomal RNA (119 nucleotides) under Pteropus alecto (black flying fox). The record is from RNAcentral. Lineage: Eukaryota; Metazoa; Chordata; Mammalia; Chiroptera; Pteropodidae.
GUCUACAGCCAUGCUACCCUGAACAAGCCCAAUCCCAUUUGAUCUUGGAAGCUAAGCAGGGUCGGGCCUGGUUAGUACUUGGAUAGGAGACCAUCUAGGAAAAACAGGUGCUAUAGGCA